UUUUGAAAGCUCUAGUGUUUGAAAUUUUGUGCAAAUUUUGAUGAAAACUUGGUUAGGGUUUUUUAUUUUGGUUUUUUUUCCCUAUUUAACUGUUUAAUUUUGCAAAAAGUUUACGAAUUUAAGUUCGAUUUUUGUUUCUAGGAUUUUAAAUUUGGGAGUUUCCAAAUUAGGGUUAAAAUUUGGGGGUAUUUCUCCGUCUAUUGAAUUCUGCUGUCAUUAGGUUAAAUUCUCCUUUUAUAUUAAUCAGUUAUAGCUUUUGUGAUUGUAUUAUUCUGGUAGUGCCAUCAUGUUCUACAUUGUGGAUAUUGUGAUUUUGUUAUUCAUGUUGUUCAUAUUGAAUAGAAUUGUUCUUUUAUCCAAUGUAAUCAAAUAUAUUUCCUUGUUCUAAUUAUUGGUUGUUUUGUGUUUAGGUUACAUAAGAUUUCUUGUUUGUGGUAAUGGAAUUGAUUGAUAUGAUCAAUUGUGGGUUGUAUUAAUUUUUGUUUUUCUGUCCUAAACAUGGUGCAUACUUGAAUGUUUGUUUCCUUAUUGCUACUGCACCUAAAUCAUGAACAUUGUGCAUACUACAAUGUUUUAAUUUUGUUGUUUUUGUUGCAUUGUGGUUCUUAUUUGAUUGGUUGGAAAUGUAUUUCUUGGUGCUUGUUGUUUUUUGUCUUCUGUCUUCUAUGAGUCUUGUUGGUUUACUUAAUAUAUUCGAUUAUUCUUUAUCGAAUGUUUGAAUUAUCACGAGGGUAAUGUAUUCCAUGUAUACAUGUGUAGAUAAUGCCUAAAAAAUUUGCGGGUCACCUAGUAAAUGGUUGGUGAUAAUAAUGGAGAUGAUAACUAUACCCCACAAGACCUCAACUGUCCUGUGAAUGGAUCACCACCUGGCUAGUUGGUUCUUUAUUUUAUACAUUCAAAUUUUCUGUAGUACAAAUGGUUUCGUGAAAUGAUGGCAUUGUUAUUGUAGAGAACAUAAAAGAAGAAGAAGAUGAUGAUGUGAACCUAGAAGGGUUAGAUACCCAAAUUCCUUCCAACACACCAAUUGGAUUAACACCACUUGCAUCAACUGAAGUUCUAGGAGAAAGUUCAGCAACUGGAGGGGAUGCUCGCAAAAGGAAAGGUAGUGAUGCACCUAUUUUACCAAAGCGUAAUAAGCUGAAAUUUGGAUUGAUAGAUAUACCUGAACCAGCAUCCUUCAAGGGGUUGACUGCAGCUUUGCAGAGUAUAGCCCAAAGUCUGGAAAAACCCAAGAUUGCAGAUCUGUCAACUGCACUUCAAGAGAUGACAAAUGGGGACAGAGAUAUGUAUCUGAGAGCAAUGGACUUUCUAGGAGACAACCCUAGUUUGAUGGCAAUGUUUGUGGGUAUAGAGAAGGAAUACAAGAUGGAAUGGCUUUUGAGAAAGCUUAAUGCCCAUAGGUAGUGAAGGGUGAUCUUGGUGUUUCUAUUUUUUUUAGGCUGCGGAAGUAUUCCUUUUUGUAUGUUGCAGAAGUGUGUUUUAACCUUGUUAUAAUCAUGUACUAGUUUGAUUGUGAACUUAUUUUCAUCACAACCUUUUGAACUUGGUUUGAAUAUAAAUAGUUUGAUUUUGAACUAUUUUAUGAUGUCGCAGCCUUUCAAAUCUCAUUUGAUUUUAUAUAUUCCAUGUUAUGUAAAUUGUGUUUAGAUUAGGGUUUUCUUGACAGAAAGGUUACUGUGAGUCUGAGAUACGAAAGGGAGAAAUGAGAUGGAGAAAUGAGACCUAUAGCUAACGAAGACAAGCUCAAUCAGAUUCAUGUAAAUGACAGAGCAGUUCCUGGUGAACUUUUAACUUUUUUCCUCACAAGUUACUACGGGUUCUUUAAAUAGCCUAACUUGAAGACAACCUUUGAUUAAGCCACAUUACCAUAACAUACAGUUGUUGUUUUUGUACCCUUAGCCAUUUCUCCCUAACAAGGACACAAAAGUUCCAUCUAUAAAGCCAUUGGUAUGGUCAGCUCCGCAGUUUUGAUUUUGUAUGGCCGUAUCAUUGAAACCUAUGAAUGGAUUAGGACUUGUAUGUAUGUAUGCUGGUACAUUCCAACUUUUAUGAUGGUUUACUCGAACUUUUUAACGAAACCUUGUUUGUUUGUUUAUUUAUUUAUUUAUUUUUAUUUUUUAUGAAAAUCAAACCUUGUUCAAUUUUGUAUUUCACACAAACUUUUUUGCACACUUUUUUUUAAGGAACACUAGCAGAUUAUUCUGAAAGUUGUUGAGGUUCAUCAUUGAAAGAUGAAUAUACUUCGUUGUAAUUUUUUUUCUCAUUAUUUCUUAUUUAUUUUGGCUAAUUAUAAUUUGGUAUGCUUACCGCUUACGGACCUUUAAUUUGGUCGUGUAUUGGGCCACAAAUCGGGUCGAUGGCAUAUGUCCAUUGGAUUGAUUGUAGGAAAAGAUCCAAAGUCCAUAAAGAAUCAUAAGUGCAAGCCCAUAGCCCAUCAGUUUAAGUCAAUUUACCCGACUGAAAAGAGUUAUCAAACGCAGGUAAAAUUGGCAAAACCAUUUUCCUACAUUUACCAAACACAUUAACAAACAGCGGCAAAUGGUUUUUCCAAAAAAUUUCUCGGAACACGAAUUUGCCAAAUCCACUAGUUUUGCCGCUUUGCCUAUUUUCUCGGGACCUAGUGGAAAGUUAUCAAACAGACCCUAAGCUGAGUAUUGCAUAUACAGUACAAUAUUAGAACAAGUAACUUUUCAACAUUAGAAUACAUAUCUGACAGUUUCUUCCUUUUCAAUUUUUUUUUCUUCAUGCAAAUUGUAGUGUCUUAAUUAAUGUAUUUAUGAUUAAAAAUGACAUACUAUCGUAAGGCUGCCCAUCGUGCGCUCAACUAAAAAUCCCUAAGCUAGCUUCCUCUCUUUGGAUAAAACUGGCUGUAAAUUUUCUCCCAAUUGUUAUACUAGCAAAUCUAGUCCCUUACCGCUAUGAAGUGAUAUUGUCUUCCUACACAUGGCAGAGCUGAGAAGAGAAGAGGGUGAGGAAAUUACUCAUCCUGCUGGACUAGCUGCAAUAUUGGGAAGACUCUGUCAAGAGAUAUUUUAGUCCCUUCUAUUUCUUCAUUGCACUCGAGUUCUUGAAAUCUGCUCAAGCCAAGGAAUGAAAUUUUUGUGAAGUACACUCACUCGAGGAUUGAUUCAUAUCUUCACAGAAGAUCAAGCACCCUACGCAAUAUUUUCGGUAAUUUAAAAGACAAGGAGCAGCAUGGUUCCUUCUUGUAGCUUUUUGAGAGAUUGCAAAGUGCAUUAUAUAUUUACAGCAAAAUGUAUUCAUUUGCAUUUGAACUCAAAAUUUAGUUGAAGGGUUGUUUUUGUCUGUAUAUUUUCUUGUUUUCCAGAGAAUAGAGGACUAGUAUAUAGGUAUUGUCUGCAGGGAGCCUGAAUUAAGAAAUUCGAAUCAAAAUUUUUCUGGUGGCAUUGCUAAUGAGAAAAUGAUUUUACUGGUGUGGAGAGUGUCAUGGUGGUGAGCCAUUAUAACAAAACUAUAAAUUAUUCUUCAUAAUCUUCAUUACAAUCCAGGAGCUAUUCAGCUAUAUAAUCUUACUAAACUGUCUUUCAAUUUCAAUGAAUUGUUGUCUUUCAGUUUUUUGUGCUAUAGAUAGAGCAGUGUUAAGAUACUAUUUUUGUGAUUUUCCUUGGUGGCAAUAAGUACAUAAACUCUUUCCUUCCACAAAUGAAUUAAAUAAAAUAUUGAUGUUUUUUUUUUGCACUUCAAUCAAAAGAACUGUAAAAUAUAAAUGUAAAUAGCGCAGUGUUAAGGUUUCAGUUAUCUUUUGCAUCUGUAAAUGACUGUGAUAAUCUUUUGUGGUGGACUUAUCACUUAUGUAUAGAGUUUUCUAAAACCAUCACAAAUGCAGAAGCCAUGAUAAGGACCCUCUUGAAACACAUAGAAUUAAGCUGGACUGCUGGAGUGCAAUUUGUUGUUCCUAGGCCUAGGAAAUGAAGUAAUGAACUUGGAUUUGUACAGUGACUACAUUCUAACAACUUUCUUAAAAUGUUGGAAAAUGAUCGAACUUUAGACUUUUAAUUACAUUACAUUCAACAACUUUAUGAGAACUGAGAAGGGUAUAUUGUUAUUAUAAGAAUUUUGCCAAGAUUUUUUUUUUUUUUUUUGAUAAAUAAAAUUUUAUUAAUAAAAGAAAGAAAGAAAAUGUGAUGAAUAGCAAUGUGAUGACGGCGGGUUCCAAUGAAUAUGUAUUUCGUAGGAUUGGUUUUGCUAUUAAAAAGGGCUUGCAGUGCAGUUUGUAGCGCGCUUGUCCUCUAGCUUUGUGUAAUUCUUCUUUUAUAAAUAAAAUUAUUUUAAAAAAAAAAUGGAUUACAAAACCCGAUCAAUCGGCAUAUUAGAUGUGACACUAGAUCAACAAGCUAAAAGCUACAAGCCUUAAUAUGAGGCAAACAAACACAAAAAAAAAAAACAAACUCUUUUUAAGAAAACCUAUAGCUAACUCAGCCAGGUUUAUUAGACCACCAACUCUUUAAAGAGUUUUUGUUGCCCUUCUGUACUCAUACCCGUCAAGCUCAUUUCCUUAGCUGAAGGAACCACAAGAUAAUCCACAAAAUUUUCAUGAUCCACCUCGGAAUCACCUCCUAUCAAGCUACUAGCAAUUACCUACAUUUUAGCAGAGUGUUGUUGUUGCUGCUCCGAUCAAACUCUCGAAACCAGGGGGUAAUCCCUUUCUAGAGAAGGUUGACUAUGAUUUUCUAUUUUCUUCAUCUUCUUCGUUUUAUUUUUCAUUAGUUUUCUACAGUUACAUCCCCAAUUGCAAUCUUAUCUGAUAUUUCACCUUCUUCUACCGCCUCUUAAUUUAUAAAUUCCAUAGACUCUAGAACAAAUAAAAUCUGCCUCAACAUCUCUCUUACGUGAUGAAGUGUCUGCAAUUCCCUCUUUAGGACAAGGUGUUGCUGUUUGGAAGGAGAAAUGAUGUGUUUUUUCAUCUUGAAUGGCCUUGAAAUGGUUACUAAGUGGCAAGAUAACCAUGUUAAAGGUGGUCUUUUGCAACUCAAAGUUCAAACAAAGUGUGUGAAGUAUUCUUUUGUUGUGAACGAAUAAGUGAUGCACUUAUAUUCAUGCAAAUCAAGCAACCAUCUCUAAUGCAUUGAGCAAUGAAAGUCUAGGGAGAAUCUUAAGGAAAAAUCAGAGAGUCCGCCAUUAAAACUUCAGGAGAGAAAAAUCAGAGAGAGUGUGAAUCCCCAGCCACCGGCAUUGUCUCUGAUGACCGGUGGCUGGUUCGUUUUUUCCUUUCUUUUCUCUUUCUAAUAUUUGUUUGUGUUUUGUGUUUUUAGAUCUUGAAUAUCUUCUUCAGAUCCAUGUUUCUCUUUUUCUCAAUUGAAGAUGGGUGUUUUCUUUUCUCCUUUUUUCUUCAAUUAAGAACAACUUUCAAGUCAUCAUCUAAUGCAUAGUUUGUUCUCCAGAUCUGGAAUGUUUUCAGAUCCAUGUUUUUCAUUUUUUUUGGUUGAAGAUGUGUUUACUCUUAAUACCUUUUACUCUUCAAUUGAGAAAAACUCUCAUCUUUCAUCGUCAUCCAUGGUUUGUUCUUCUCGAUCUGGAUUAAUUUUCAGAUUCAUGUUUUUUAAUUUUUUCAAUUGAAGAAUUGUUUAUCUUGCAUCAUUUAUCUCUUCAAUUGAAAAAAGUUUUCAUCUUUCACCAUUAUUAUGGUUUUCUUAGAGUUUUUGUUUCAGACCUGAUUGAUUUUUUGUCUCGAUUUCAACUUUGAUCAUGGUGGUACUCUUUUUUGCUUCAAUAAGGGAUUUUGAAGCGGUGUUUAGCGUGGUACUUCUCUUGAUCAUGAUGUUGUCUUUGGCUCAUUAUAUCAACCAUGGUUUGGAGGAUUUUUUUUGAGAAAUCUUUGUGUUGGGUCUCUUCUUCACCUUUCAGUCCCUCUCUGGUGCAUCAAAGUUAUUUCUUGGUUUAACCUCUCAUUUCUUUUCGGCUGCAUUUUCAUCCUUGAUCAUGUUGGUGUCACACAAGUCUUUGGGGGAUGGAGACGUAAGUGCACUGCAACAUAAAGCAUUUUCUCACAUCUGGUCUAAGAUUGUUUAUGCGUGUUUGGGCGGCUUGGUUUGGUUGAGCUUAGUUUUAACUUUUUGUUCUUUAGUUGGGUUGGAAUUUGUUGUUGAGUGGGUUUUUAGCUAAUCCUUUUCAAGGAUAAGCCUUGUUUAUAUAAUCCCUUCAACAAAUAUUCUCUUGGGGAUCUUGUAUUUAUUCUUGGUUUUAUUUAUAUAAAAUCAAAAAAUUUAACAAAAAAAAAAUAAAAAAAUAAAAAAUCAAGCAACCAUCUUUAGUCGUGAACUUCCACCAAUAUACAGCAUGUAUGUGAAAUUAAACAAUUAUAAUUCUUUAAUACUGUACCUAUUAUUGAUGAAAUAAAGUGAUCUGUAUUUUGAACAUUAUUCCUAUAAUACAUCACUUAGUAACUUUAUAAGGUUGUGAAUUGCUCAAUUGGAUAUUUCUUGUAUCCACUGGAUAACCAAACUGUAAAUUUUCCCUGAAGUUUGAUCAUGUGUACUGAUAAAUCUAGUUCAUAUGGUUGUCCACCCUGUUUGCUUCCUGCACAUGUUCGAGAAGUUUGCUCACUGUCCACAUGUUCG
Molecule: long non-coding RNA, 6578 nt
Filed under: Aquilegia coerulea
Lineage: Eukaryota; Viridiplantae; Streptophyta; Magnoliopsida; Ranunculales; Ranunculaceae
Description: long non-coding RNA (ACOE_LNC001914)
Source: RNAcentral